This 441-nucleotide ribosomal RNA is filed under the name uncultured bacterium. Its description in RNAcentral is "partial 16S ribosomal RNA". It matches the Rfam family "Bacterial small subunit ribosomal RNA", at positions 338 to 795 of the family's 1533-position model. The record is from RNAcentral.
CCUACGGGAGGCAGCAGUAGGGAAUUUUGCGCAAUGGGGGAAACCCUGACGCAGCAACGCCGCGUGAUCGAUGAAGGCCUUCGGGGUGGUAAGAUCUUUCAGUGGGGACGUAACCUGACGGUACCCACAGAGGAAGCACCGACUAACUCCGUGCCAGCAGCCGCGGUAAUACGGGGGGUGCAAGCUUUGUCCGGAGUCAUUGGGGGUAAAGAGUUCGGAGGUGGCUCGUUAAGUCUGGUGUUAAAGGCGGAAGCUCAACUUCCGUAGGGCAGUGGAUACUGGCGAGCUUGAAUGCGGUAGAGGUAAAGGGAAUGCGUGGUGUAGCGGUGAAAUGCGUAGAUAUCAGGAGGAACAUCGGUGGCGUAAGCGCUUUACUGGGCCGUAAUUGACACUGAGGAACGAAAGCCGGGGUAGCAAAUGGGAUUAGAUACCCCAGUAGUC